AUUGAACGCUGGCGGCAGGCCUAACACAUGCAAGUCGAACGGUAACAGGAAACAGCUUGCUGUUUCGCUGACGAGUGGCGGACGGGUGAGUAAUGUCUGGGAAACUGCCUGAUGGAGGGGGAUAACUACUGGAAACGGUAGCUAAUACCGCAUAACGUCGCAAGACCAAAGAGGGGGACCUUCGGGCCUCUUGCCAUCGGAUGUGCCCAGAUGGGAUUAGCUAGUAGGUGGGGUAACGGCUCACCUAGGCGACGAUCCCUAGCUGGUCUGAGAGGAUGACCAGCCACACUGGAACUGAGACACGGUCCAGACUCCUACGGGAGGCAGCAGUGGGGAAUAUUGCACAAUGGGCGCAAGCCUGAUGCAGCCAUGCCGCGUGUAUGAAGAAGGCCUUCGGGUUGUAAAGUACUUUCAGCGGGGAUGAAGGGAGUAAAGUUAAUACCUUUGCUCAUUGACGUUACCCGCAGAAGAAGCACCGGCGAACUCCGU
Molecule: ribosomal RNA, 489 nt
Filed under: uncultured bacterium
Lineage: Bacteria
Description: partial 16S ribosomal RNA
Rfam family: Bacterial small subunit ribosomal RNA
Source: RNAcentral